CAAACCAGGCCCGGCUGCCACAACAACACAUGCGGGCUCAACGCGGCGAACCCUAUCUCCGGGGAGACCGCCUUCGGUGAGCUCGCCCAAGAUGUCCUCUCAAUUCCAUCCACAGAUGGGUCUAGCCUCGGGCAAUUGGUCACUAUCCCUCAGUUCCUCUUCGCUUGUGCGCCUUCCUCUCUGGCACAAAAGGGGUUCCCACCUGCUGUACAAGGAGUUGUUGGCUUAGGCCACACUUCGAUUGCCCUACCGACUCAACUGGCUUCCCACUUUGGAUUCCAACAGAAGUUUGCUCUGUGCCUCACUUCCCCACUUAACCAUGGAGUACUUUUCUUGGGAGAAGCCCCCUACAGACUACAUCCCGGCAUCGACGUCUCACAUCCACUAGGCUCUACCCCACUAUCCAUCAGCAGAGAAGGCGAGUACUUCAUACAAGUGACAUCAAUAAGGAUCAAUGAGAGGGUCGUCCCAGUGAACCCGGCCUUGUUAAACAGAAGACCUGGUUCGACUCUGAUCAGCACCACAACGCCUUACACCGUCCUGGAACACUCAAUCUACCAAACUUUCACUCAGUUCUACGCGAACCAGAUGUCGUGGGCACCCCGGGUGCAACCAAUUGCACCCUUUGGGCUGUGCUUUGACGCGACUAAGAUGACUGCAACGCAAAUCGGGCCUGAAGUUGCUAACAUUGAUCUUGUAUUGCACAACCGUAACAACGUAUGGAGGAUUGUUGGCGCAAACUCAAUGGUACAGCCGCGACCUGGGGUCUGGUGCUUAGGCUUUGUGGAUGGAGGAUCCAACCCUAAAGCUCCAAUUAUUCUAGGGUCAUAUCAGUUGGAGGACAAUCUUCUGCAGUUUGAUCUGGCUAGGUCAAAGCUGGGCUUCAGCUCUUCGCUGCUAUUCCGUGGAACUCAUUGUGGUAACUUCUUCGUAGGCUCCGCCCAAACCUCAGCUGCAAAGGAGGAGAAGCAUGUGUAGGCAUAAGUGUGAUAGCUUCUUCCUCUUUUUUGGUGUAUUAGAUCAUGUACAUCUGAAGUUGUACUUGUCUUUCUGCACUAAGUUUUUCUAAGAUGAAUAAAUAAAUGGUGGGGUGAUGUUGUGUUUAUGAUGGCAGCCAAUUUUCAGUCAACUAACAUGUUCGAAUGGAUCAUAGAUUAUCAAGGCUAGACAUAAUUGAACUGAAUUGAAUGGUGAAAAAUCAAGUCUCUGCAAAUUCUUCCAUAAUCUAAACAACCCGGCCGGAUCCCCAAAAAUGCCCAUGAUCACCAUAGAAACACAUCAUAGAUCCUAACCAGUGUGCAUGUGAAUUCAAAAAUCUAAGCAAGAAAAAUGAUUUGUAUUCAAGUUUGAAUGAUGGCUGUAUGAUGAGCAUCAUGUCAAAUUCCAUAAAAGUCCGCCAUAUUUUUCAUUGGAUGCUAAUUGGUUUUCAGAUGGAUUAGACAUCGACACUGAUCCGUCCAUCAGCAAUGAUGAGAAAACUCAAAUGAGCAAAUCUGGAUUAACUUCCAAGUAUGAAAAAUGAAACCUUAAAAAACCAUGCAAAAAAGCAACGUUGGAUUCAAUGGAUCAUUCUUUAUACUCGUGGUAUUAUUAAUGCUCAUACCUGCAUCAAUCUAUACCUUCAACAACUCCAAAACCCUUUAUUUAUGCUUGUCCAAAAGUGAAUAAAUGCCAAAUAUUUAAGUUAAUACAUACAAAAUUAAUCACAUAUAUACCAAGAGAGAGAGAGAGAGAGAAAUUCCACAAGUGAAUCUUUUUUAAUCUCUAAUUUCUUUAUUAUUGGAUUGUAAAGUUUGAAUCAAUUUUAUUGUAUUUUGCUGGGGAUGUCGGGAUUUGAGCUUCCCGCUAAGCUCGUUAGAGAAUUUUUUUUAAUAUGAUGAAUAACGAGUUUGCCCUUAUUAAAUAUUUAACUCUUAUAUAUUUUAGGUUUUUCUUUUUAGAUAACAUAAUCAUAAUUGAGAAUAGUUUUUUAGAACUUCAUCAUUAUAUUGCCUCACGUUUCUUUUGAUUAGUAGAUUCUUGAGUAUUUGUGUACUCUAUGGACAUAACCACGUUAAAAGUCUUAUCUUUAUAUAUAUAGAAAGAGUAUCUUUACACUUUAAUAUUGUUAUCAAUGAGUAUAAUUUUGUUUGCAAGAUUGGAGCAAGGAGGUCCUAUUCACAAUCAAGUUAUUUGGUGGAAAUCAUCACCUAACAUUGAUUCCUUUCACAAUCAAGUUAUUAAUUGGAUGUGCGGGUGAGUGUAAACUUAGGUGGUUUAUUUUCAAUUAAUUAGUAAUGAUAAAAAGUAGGUGGCACUCACCCUUUAUGUAAGAUUUAUUUUCUAUUUUUGUAUAAAAUACUUUUUUUUGUACCAUUGAAAAAUAGAAGGAUUAUGAUAUGUCUUUAUCAUUGUAAUCUUUGCUCAAUUCAAUUCAUCUUCACCUCUGCCUGAGCUAUUUUUUAAGAACUGGUAUAGACAAAAAAAAAAAAAAAAAUUAUCUUUUUUUUUUUUUUGAGAACUGUUUUUUUUUUAAAAAAAAUACCAAAUUAGCUAUAAAUUAAUUAAAAUCAUAUAAUGAUAUAUACUAAGCAAAUUAUUAAUUAAUAAUUAAUAAUUUAUAAUAAUUAUAUAUGAAGAAUUCUAUCUACUAAAAAUGUAACCAUCAAGUUUUUGAAUUAAAUUUCCAUAUCAUCACAUGGAUUUACAUAUACUUAUUUCAGAGCUUGGAUUCAAAGUGGCACUUAUUCUGACCACUAAAUCACAUCUUAAACAUUUGACUAUUUUUGUCCUAUAUUUUAAGUGCGUGGUAGUGAUUUGAGAAAAUAUUUAUAACAUUCCUAAUAUUUAAAAAAUAAAAACUUUUAAAUGUUAGAAAUGUUAAAGACGUUUCCUAAAAUCAUUAUCGAACGAACUCUUAUCUUUUAAUUUUUCUUUUAAAUGUAUUUACUAGAAUUUACAUCUUCAAACUAUGACUUUAAUAUGAAUUUUAAAACCAUAUCUUAAAACUAUAUAAUUUAGCAUGUGUUUCAAGAUCAUGUUUUGAAAGUACAACUUCUACUUUUUUUACAAACUAUUUAAAUUUAAAUUUUUUAAAUUAGGAAAAUAUUAAGGUACGGUAUUUAUAACCAAUUUAUAAUCUCUAUGAUUAAAAUGUAUAUCUUUAAUAAAAUCUAAAUCAUUGGAUGAGAACAUAAAUAUGUAACAUUAUAAAUAAAUAAUAUCAUAACAAAUGAGAUUUCAUUAAAUACUUCUUUUAUUUUGAAUUGAAUGGAAUGUCGGUAGGAAUGAUAAAUAAGAAGAUCGGUGAGUCAGAUAUUUGAUCAAAUUUGUUUCCAAGUGAAGCAUGAAACCAUGAAAAUAAAUUGCAAAGUAGGUGUUGUGAUUGGUUUUUCCAUAAAGUUCAUCUUAUACCUAUGAAAUAUGAAUGCCCAUGACCUACAUUUUAUCAAUUAAAAUGGUCAAUUUGACCCAAAAUUCCUCCUUUCACAUGUACCUUCUUUCCAAAUUUGUCGUUAUACAUGGUAAAUGCCACACAACAUUACAUCAUAGUUUCAUGUGGGGUGGGUACCCUACAAUUAAAGCCAUGCCGCUCAUCUUUGGUCACCCAUCCCUCUCAUGGGGCCCAAUUACUUAUCUCUUUCCAAGACUGGUCACACUCAGACCCAUCAGACCAUCAAGCUUCAUCACUAAAUAGUCCUCUCCUACCCUCGUGGAUUAUUCAACCAUGGCUUCCUUGCCACAAGCCCACUUAUUUUCUCUCAUUUUGCUCUCUCUCACAUCAUUCUCCAUCUCCCAAACACCCUUAAUCCACCCUAAUGCUCUUGUUCUUCCCCUCACUAAACAUGCCUCAACUCUCCAAUAUGUCACCAUUAUCAGCCAAAGGACACCCCUAGUGCCCUUGAACGUUAUUGUGGAUCUUGGUGGCCAGUUUCUAUGGGUUGGUUGUGGCUCCAAUUAUGUCUCGUCUUCCUACCGCCCGGCUCAAUGCCACUCGAGCCAGUGCUUCUUAGCCCAUGGUCCCAAAAGUUGUGACCAUUGCCUGUCUAGGGGUAGACCCAAGUGUAACAAUGGGACAUGCAUUUUGUUCUCAGAAAAUGUGUUUACUAGCAAAGUCUCAGCUGGGGACCUCAGUGAGGAUGUGCUCAGUCUCCAAUCCACAGAUGGCCUAAACCCUAGAAGUGCGGUGGCUAUUCCCCAUUUUCUAUUCUCAUGUGCCCCAGAGGUUCUCUUACAAGGCCUUGCUGGUGGGGCUGAAGGAAUUGCAGGCCUCGGCCAUGGCAGAAUUGGGCUGCCUACACUGCUCUCCUCUGCACUCAACUUCACCAGAAAAUUCGCCGUCUGCCUUCCUCCAACCACAACCUCAAGUGGGGUUAUCUUUUUUGGCGAUGGGCCUUAUGCUUUGCUCCCGGGCAUUGAUGUAUCCAAGCUACUCAUCUACACUCCUCUUAUCAAAAACCCUAGAAGCGUGGCCACUAGGGUUUAUGUCACUGAACCUUUGCCUUCAUAUGAGUAUUUCAUCAGGGUUAAGUCGAUUCAAAUCAAUGGAAAACAAGUACCAUUGGAUUCAUCACUGUUAGCUAUCAACAAGAACGGCAUUGGUGGGACAAAGAUCAGCACUGUAAAUCCCUACACUCUGCUACAAACCUCCAUAUACAAUUCCUUCACCAAGCUUUUUCUGCAAGAGGCCAUGGCACAUAAUGUUACUAGGGUUUCUCCGGUAGCGCCAUUCGAUGUUUGUUUUAGCACAAAAAACACCAAUGGAGCUUUUUCUACUCCUGCCAUUCCUGUUAUUGAUCUUGUGUUGCAGAAUAAGAAGGUGUUUUGGAGGAUUUUUGAGACCAAUUCCAUGGUGCUGGUGGGUGAUGAUGUUGCUUGCCUAGGGUUUUUGGAUGGUGGGUUGAACCAAAGGACUUCAAUUGUGAUUGGAGGGCACCAAUUGGAGGAUAAUCUUCUGCAGUUUGAUCUUGAAUCAUCAAGGUUGGGGUUUACUUCUUCACUGCUGUUAAGGGAGACCAGUUGUGCCAAUUUUAAUUUUACAUCUAGCCUUUGAUAUUUGAUUAAGUACUUAUUUAAUUUUAAGUAAGAAACAAGUUCAAUUUCCAUGGUGGCAACCUUCAAAAUGCGAAUCUCCAAAAACAAAUAAUAAAAGAGCUUGUAAUUUUUAAGAAAUGUGAUAUGUAUAUUAAGUCCAAAUCAUAUAAGCUUAAAGUUUUAGGUUAAAACCAUCUUUUCGUAAUUUGCAUGUUUAUUUCACGGGGUAUCGGUUUUACAAUUCGUUUAGAUUUUCCGACCCAUGGUUAUAGGAUUCAACAGUAAUCACAACUUCUAACCAGGCUUAAAGGGUAGAGAGAACAGACCCACAUCGAAAAAGGAUAGAGAGAAAUUCCAAAAUGAAACUUCAUAAACGGUGACCCUUCAUGAUUUGAAAAAAAAAAAAACAAACUGAUCAAUUUUUCUGCUUUAAGAUUAAGAUCCAACAUGGUUUCCAAGACCAAGCUAGCCGAAGGUGGAAAAGUGUCCUGCAAAUUUUAGGGGUUCCCCACUUUGCAGUGCCUGCUAUACUCAAUAGAGCUUUCAUGUACAAAUAGCAGAAGAUAGCAAUGAAUGGCCUGCAACAAUUGAAUACUUGAUGGACCACUCUCACAUUUGCUUCUCUGCAGUCUACACUCACGGAGGUAGAUUACGGGUUUGAAGCCCAAUCUUGGAUCAAAUUAGACCGUUUGAUCAUAAAAAUUGACUGUUUUGACCCUUUUUUUAAAAACUUGCAUUAAAUAUGAACUGUUUUUUUCCAUUGUCUCGUAUUAUCCUGAUGUGAAAAUGAAGUUUCAAUGGACAAUUACGACUUUAUUUUUGAACUGAUGUAUCGAUUCAUGGGGCCCAAUGACUCUUUAUUUAUGGUAACAAAUCUCAAUCUAUCAUGGGUGUGGACAUACACAAGAUUGUACUUUUUUCUCCUAAUAAAAAAGUUUAAUGGAAUAAUUUCUGAAUCCUAACAAAUUAUUCGGAAUAGAUGGUGUCACAUGGUCAUCUCAGAUUUUAUUAUUUUAUAUCAAAUUUGAUCUUAAUGUUUUGUAUUUUAUUCUUAUUAUUUGGUGCUUUGAUAUAAUUUGUGUAUAUUUAAUCUCAUUUAUUUAUAUAUCUUACAAUUUUCUUUAAUUUUAAAAUUUUAUUUAAAAAUUGACGUCUCGAACAUUAAAUUUAACUUAAUAUAUAUUUGUAUUGUCAUCUAAUAACUUAAAACCUUACAAUUCUUUAAUAAUUUAUAUUUUUAAAUAAAAAAUAUUAUAUUUUUGUUAAUUUUUAAAUAUUUUCUUUUAGAAACUUAAAAACAUUAUCUCAAUAAAUUUUUUGUUUUGGAAAAAAAAUAUAAAAGUUGAUAACUUGGUAUGAAUACACUAAUCCCAUCAUAUUUUUAGUCUUUUUCUUUGAAAAAUAAAUGACAGAACUAAUUGACAUUGUUAGAUUAAAAAAAAACAAAAGAAAGAAAGAAAGAGUGAAUUGAAUAACAUUAGCUUUUCAGAUUAGAAUAUGAGAACAAAAAUUUUAAAAAUGAAAAGGUUAAUCUGAUGACAUUUUAAAACUUUUUCUUAAAAAAAGAAAAGAAAAAGCUAAGAACCAAACUUUAAAACAAAAAGAAAAAAAAAAUUACUCAAUUUUUGGGCUUAAUUUCAUUCCAUUUCCUUAUAAUUUUGAGUAAAUACAUCUAGUUUUCAUUAAUUUGAAAAUUCAUCAAAUACCACUUAUAUCAUUUUUAUUUGUUAUUUCCACUCACUUCUCAUUUCAUUAAAAAUAAUAAAAUUUAAUGAAAUUUCAAACAAAUAAGAGUCAGGUGUUUUCAAUUAAAAUCCGAGGAGAAGUAAAUGAAAUAAACCAUUAUUAUUUUCAUCAUUCAAGAGAAAAAAUAAAAAAAAAAUAUAGCACCAAUCACAUUAGUCUUUUCUCUCAUAUAUACAUAAUGGGAUAAAUUAAUAGUUUUCUUUUAGGAUGAAUGAGAAGAAGAUUUGAGAAAAUAAGUGUGGCACUUUUCAACCACAUUGGUAAAGGUAGAAGCAUACGACAAUUGGAUGGCUAGAAUUGCCUUCAAGUGAGGAUUGCCUCAUAAUUCUAAUUUUUGUAUAGGUUGCUACGCAAGAAAAAAAAUAAAACUUGCAAGUAUGAAAAAGUCUUUCUCUAAGGCUUAUAAGUACUCUAAAUUGGAAGAAGACAUGGUGAACUCCUAACUUAAGGUUAUACUAGCCACCGACUACAAAGAAAAAAGACAAUUGAUGAGAUUGGGUGCAUCUCAAUGAGGCAAACGAGCACGUAUUAUGAGAAUCGAUGGGGUGUGCAUAGAGUCAAAGCAACAAAUGGAAAUAUAAGCUUGACAUUAGCUAAUUGGAUGUACCUUAUAUACAAGCAUUUAACAAUUAUGUAAACUUCAAAUUGUUAAUGGCCCCUUUAGGCUAAAGGAGAUCUUUUGAACCAUGACAAGAAUCAAUAUUGUGAGUAUCAUAGACUGCAUAGACAUAGAAUGCAUAAGCUUGAAGCACGUAAUAAAAAUGCAUGUGAAAAUGUGUGAGUUAUGCUAGUUCCUUGCCAUCCUUAGCGAUGGAGUUCGAUAAGCACAACAACUUGAUAACCUCUCUAAUGACAAUGUGUAUGAAAGAUUAGGGCAUGUUGUUUCAAUCAUACAUAGUGGAAAUCUACCAACUUGGAGUAGGUUGACCAAUUUAGAGUCAACAUUUGACUAGUUAACAUACGCUUAGGUGGUAGCAAAGGUUUGGCUUUUACACAAGCAAGUGGUUGAGAAAUGUCAAAACCAUAUAACGAGCAUUGGUGGUAACCUUGUUAUCGUAAAUUGUGAAGUGCAACAUAUUUUGGUUGAUCUAGACAACUUAGUUGAUAUCUGAUUCAUAAACACUUUUAUAAGAAUAGGGUUACCUUCCAACCAGUUGACUUCAAUAACAAGUUCCCUUGCAAGUUUAAUGGGUGCUUUGUUAGUCCAAUAAGUGAAGUGAUAUUUCUAGCAUUACACUUACAAUUAUUAUGGUAAAGUUCCUUGUAGUGUAUGUUACUUUUAUUUAUAAUAUGAUCUUGGGAUGAAGUUUAAUUCAUCCAAUAAAGGCAAAAUUGGACAAAGUUGAAUUAAAUUUUGAAGUUGAUUUAACAUCAUCCCAUUAAAGAAAAUCAAUUACAUUUCAAUACCCUAUGUCAUUAACAAUGAGACGAAACUCAGGUGUGUGACCUACUAUUUACUAUAUGCAGAUUCUUUAUGAACUGAUGUAUGUAAUCCAAUAAGGUAGUAGUAUCACCUAUAUAUCAAGAUUACUUCACCAAUCAUUGAGUUAUAAUUCCCACUUUUUAUGUGAUAAAUUAGUAUACUCUAUCUCUAAGGAAUAUAUGUCAAAUUUCUACUAAAAGAAAUGUUAUGGUCAUGGUUUUCUAGAUUGCAUAUCCUCUAGAUCAUCCAAGAAGACACAUUGUCUCAAACAUAUGAGAUAUCAUAGUAUUUUUAUUAAGAAUACAUGUUAUCACCAGUUUCUAUCAAUAAUGACCCAAUCCAUAGGGAUGUAUGACCACUUUAGGGUUUCACCUAUAAGUCAAAACCUCAUGUUGACUUUGACACAAACUCAAUAUCCUUUUAAGAUUGAGAGUCCAUACAACAUAAUAACUCGGUGAAUCAUGACAAUUGAUAGUCUUACGUCAUGAUUCACCGUAAAUCAUUUUCAAUGUGUAAUCAUAUAUAUUAGUGCACUCAUCAUGAGAAAUUAAUCCUAAUAUUCAAGAUAAAUCAUCCAUUUAAUUAAGAGGUAUUAUAGUCUUUAUUGGAUUGCUCAAAUCUAUAAACUGAUUAUGAACCAAUUAUCAACUUACAAGGAACUAUCCCUAUGACAAUCAAAGACUCUAGUAGACAAAGUCUUCAUAAAGGGAUCAACAAGUUCUUCGUAGAAGCAAGAUCUUCUCCACAACCACAUCUUCUUUCAUUACUAUCUCACGUAUCAAGUAAUACUUCCUCUCAAUAUGUUUACCCUUCUAGUGGUUCCUUAGUUUUUUAAAUUGUAUCACCGCCUCACUGUUAUUACAAAACAAUGUCAGGGACGAUACAACCAAGGGUACUAUCCUAAGCUCCAUUAAAAACUUCCGAAGCCAACGACUUCCUCUAUUACCUUAUAAGCAAUAGCAUACUCAAUUUCCAUAGUGGAAUGAACGUAAUACGAGAUUGUUUUACACUUCUCCAACUAACAAUCCCACCACCUACAAUUGACACAAACUCAAAAGUAAGCUUGCAAGAGUCUUUAUCAUAUUCAAAUUAAGUUUGAAUUUAUAUACCUAAUGAUAGAGACCUUGGAUUUCUCCAUUCUCAAACCUUAGAUUGUAUAGGUACAUGCAAAUCUACCCUAAGCUUCUUUAAAAACUAAUCCAAACGAAAGCAUGACUUUUAAAACCAUUUAGAUUAACAAAACUAAGGAAAAAAACAUUCAUACAUGGGUUUGGAUGUUCCUAGAUCAAUUUAUUGCAUUGAAAUAGAUGUCUAAAUACUUUGGAAGUCUCAUACAACCAAAGUCUUCCACCCAAUGACUCAAACUACAACCUUGGCACUCUAAAUAGUGAACUUUGGAAGGGAAUAUGCCUUGGCUCUCUCUCUCUCUCUCUCUCUCUAUGGAUGUGGAAGAUGACAAUCAAAAGCCUUGGAAACCUUAACCCUUAUAGGUAUUUAUAGGAUUCCUUUACUAGGCUUAAGUGACUUAAGCCCACCAAGGCUUUGAUCACUUUUAAUCUAACCUAAAAUAGGUUCUAAUUGAUUAAUUAACCACACAUGGUCAUCUAAUUAAUUAAUUAAUUAACCCAAUCCAAAGACCUUAUUCACUAUUUCCUAUGCAGUCUUACGUAAUUACCAAAAUGCCUUUACACACAAGCGUAAACCUAGGGCUAAUCCAACUCUCACAAAAUAUGUCAUCAUGGUAUAUGAGAUCAAAAUGGAAACCACUAAGACCCACAAGAGUAUUGAUUCCAAUACUCUAUGUAAAUAACAAUGAGACAAAACUUGAGUAUAUGACCUACUAUCCAUUGCAUGCAGAUUGUCCAUGAACUAGUGUUCAUAAUCUAACAAGGUAAUGUUAUCAUCUAUCACUUUUCCAAUUAAGUUACAAAUCUCGCUUAUUAUAUGAUCAAUUGACAUACUCUAGCUCCACGAAGUCUAUGUUAAAUUUUCACUAAAAAAAAUGUUAUGGUCAUUGUCUUUUAGAUCACAUAUAAUUUGGAUCACCCAAUGAGACACACUAUCUCAAUUUCAUGAGAUAUCAUGGUACCUCUAUUGAGAAUAUCUGUUGUCACCAGCUUCCAUCAACAGUGACCUAAUCCAUAGGAAUAUGUGACCACCCUAAGGUUUCACUUAUAAGUCAAAACCUCCUAUUAACUUUGGUACAUGCUCAUAUAAGAUAUUAUCUAUUACAAAAAGAUUAAUAAUUGAAGUAAAUUCAUUUCAAGCAUAGUUGGCAUCCUAAUUUCCUUCCAUGUUAGUACUAGCACAUUCAGUGGUUACCUUUUCCCAAACUUCACCCUCAACCUUUGGAAAAGGGGAUAUGAUUUACUUUACUUGACAUUCUUCAUAGUUGAUGUUAUACCUUAGGUCCUUAGAUUUAACAAAUUGUUGUUAGAGAUGAUAAUGAAUAAGUCUCACAACUUAAGAAUUUCUUCUUCUUUUUUAUGUUCAAACUUGGUGGAAGAGUUUGCUAAGUCAUUUUGUGAUUUCUCGUUUUCUCUUAGCAUUUCCAAAGAUUGCUUGAGUAAAUCCAUGUAUUUCUUCUUCAAGAAUUCGAUUUUUCCUUUCAAUUUUCCUUAUUUACUUUGCAAACUUCUUUAAACUUACUCAAUAGGGCUUUCUUCUCACCUACCAACUUAUCCUUGGUUUGACACUUAGUUUUCAUGUUCUAUUAUUUUUUGACACUUGAUAACAAAUAUCACUAGGAUCUAUAAAAACUGUGAAACCAAGGUUUAGUUAAUUUUGAUUUUGAUGAUAACAAAACAAGGUUUAAAACUAAUGAUUAUAUUUCAAGUGUGAUUAGGCAAGACGAUCUCCAAAGUGGCAAUCACAAAGACAAAUCAAGCCAAGGAGAAAUCAUGAAGAAGAAGACCACCUCAAAGAGAAGUGUUUUUCAAGAUCCAAGCUUCAUAAGAUCUCUUUGUAAGGUUGUUGGUGCACUAGGAUUUUCAUGCAUUACAUUCUUUACUUAUGCACCAAAAUCAUCCAAAAGUUAUUUUGUUUUAAAUAUUUUAAAAUUUGGAUAAUUUCAUGUUUUCAACUAAAACCUUGUGUUAAAUGUUUUUCAAACUUGUUUUAAAAUGUUUUAAGUUGAAAAAGUUGGUUGUUGAGCUAAAAAAUGGCUCAACCGGUUGAACCGGGUGAGGAACCGGUCGAUCACAAGCUCAACCGGUCGAGGUCUGGGUCAACCCACAGCUCAACUGGUCGAGGCCCGCGUAAACCCCCAACUCAACCGAUCGAGGGUGCAAAAAACUUUCUCUUUCUUCCAGAACGGUUGUUCAAAAUGUCAAGGUUGAACCUCAACCGGUUGAGGUUCGGUCGAGGUCCAAUUGAGGCUCAACGGUCACCUGCCAAACAUUAAAUGCUAACGGAGCGUCAACCGGUCGACCCCUAACUCGACCGGUUGAACCCCCAAACGGUUAGUUUGGCUUUUCUCUUCUAUAAAAAGGCUCCAAUCUUCAUUGUUUAAUGAGCUUAACCUUCCCAAACCUUUCUUGAAUAUAUUUGAGCCUUGAAAAAGUGUUUUUGAAUGCACCAUUGUUCUAAAACUUGCAUAUUCUUAGUGCACAUUUCAAUCCUAGUUUUCUUGUAUCAAUUGAGCUUAAAGUUUUUGUACUAGGAUUUUUGUGAGAUCACUCAUUUGUAAAUCCUUGAGAGGAAAUUGUUCAAGAGUGAGAUAUCUCUUGAGAAGUGUAAAGGGUGCUUGGAGCCAAAAGUCCAAGAGGGUGAAUUGGAACCAUAAUCCAAUUGUAUUGCUUGAAGGCUUGGUUUGGAAGCCUUGAAUUAGUGGAACCUCAAGCUCGGGAUUGAAGCUAGAGAAGAGUGGAUGUAGGUCGGGUUGCGCCGAACCACUAUAAACUCUUAUAUUUGCAUUCUCUCUUCCCUACUCUUUAAUUUAUAUGCAAUUGUCUUUAUAUUGCUUAUUAUGUACUUACAUAUAAUUGUCUCUUACAUUCACAUAGUUUAAAUUUGCAAAAAGAGACCAUCACCCUAUUCACCUCCCCCCCUCCUCUAGAGUGAUUAUCAUAGGUUGGAUUAACCUAAUAUUCCUAACAAGAACCAUUCCUUCAAGACAUGAUAUGUUAUAUAGAGAAAAUUUUAUGCAAAAAUUUAAGUCAAUAGAAAAUAUCAUGUUGGUGUCUCCCCAAAGCCUAUGCUCAUAAUUAACGGUUCAUCAUUUUUUCAAUUCCUCUUUGCCAUCAUUUUUUAGGGAUAUAUGCCUCAAAACUUCCUUUUGCAAGGAUAAACCCAAGAUGGUUUUAGAUAAAUCCUCCAACCUAGAGUCACCAUGAGUGAUCUCCUCCCUAGUGGCCCUUAAGUAAGGUAAAUUAUCCUUUAUUUGAGCUCUUUAUGGGAGAAAAUAGGUUUGAUGGUCACUGGUCAACAAUCUUUAUGAGGUUGGAGGAAAAUGACAUACGAACGACUUCAUCUAAAGUUCUAAUUGGAUCAAUCCCUGCAAGUUUUUUCUUGUUAGGUACCUUAUUGCUCAAACACCCACUUGAACUCCCAACUACCUGCAUUUAGCAAGAUCAAAGGGCAUGGUUGGACAUUUUUCAAUCAUCAAUGACUAAAAAAAAAAAAAAAAUUCAUCUCCAAUAGGUUAGUGUCUUUCAUUGGUGUAAUGUAAUCUAGUUGCCUCAUAACUCCAAAUUUUGAUAAGCAUUAUUUUCUAUGAUGAAAAGGUUGUUUCAAAACUUGCAAAGUUAGCAAAAUGAAACUAUUUGGGAGCUUUGUCAAUCCACUUCCUUUCAAGGAACAAGCUUUCUCCUUUUUAGCUUUCUCAAAAGCCUUACAAGUACUUUGAUAUUGUCAUUAUUCACUUUCAUCUAUUAAGUUCGUUGGUGUCAUAAAAUUAAAGGAACAAAAGAAAGAACACUACCAAGAGAAAAAUUGACGGAAGAUAUUUUUAUCUAAGAAAGAUUAUACUUUGUAUUUCUAGAAGACAAAAGGUUAUUCUUCCUAAUAUUAAAUUCCUUUAUCUUUUUCAAUCAAAUACUCUUAAUAUUAAAUCAUAUAGGGGGUGUUUGGUACACGGGAAUAGGGAGUGGGAAUAGACAUCUCAUUCAUUUUCUCCCUUAUUCCUAUGUUUGGAUAAAUGUUAAGAAGGCGGAAAUGAAAUAAAAAAUUAUUCCGGCAGAAAUCAAAUCCAACUUAUGAGUCGGAUUUGCAUUCAUUAAAAGUAGGUGGUAUUCUGAUUCAUUAAACCUAUUUGAUAAUAUAAAAUAACCUAAAUUACUAUUUUACCCUCUUAUCUUGUUCUUUAAACUCGAUGUUUAUCUUCUUUGUAAAGGUAGAGAUCCAUUCAUCAUCCACUUCUUAUCUUCUUUGCAAAGCUAGAGACCCACUCAUCAUCCAAUUCUAUGCAACAAGUGAUUCUUCCAAAUUGAAUCAAUUAAACCUUCCACGAUAUUUUUAAAAAAAAAAAAAUCAAUUUCUAAUUUAUAGGGUUUUGGAUGUUCAUUUUGAUUGUUGGAUCUAGGAUUCGUUAUUGUUUGCUGCAACUAGGUUCUGAAAACUCCCUUCUACAUCUUCGAUCAGGUUUACCUUAUUUUCUCUUUCUUCUUCUACUUCUUUAUAUGUGUUUCUUCUUCUCUAUAAAUCGAUUAAUUUUUUUUUAUUAAUUUAUGUUUGGAAUCUUUGAUGUUUCUUUAUCUUGUAUUAAUGGAAACUAGAGAGAAAAAUUGAAAUGGUUGGAAAAAGAUUUUUUGAUUUCACGUGUUUACAAUAUUGAAAAUUUUUAAUGGUUAGGAAAAAAAUAAAAAGAAAAAAACAAACAAAAACAAAACUUUUGUUCAAUUUAGAUGAAGAUCUCAAGGUUGAAUGGACAAAACAACUUCUUCAAACCCCAUAAAUCUCCAUGUUGCAUCCUUGUUGAUUUAUUGUCUUUAGGUUGGAUUGAUAGAAAUUUUAGGUUGGAUUUUGUUUCAUCAAUUUCCUAUGAACUUUUUUAUUGAUUUGAUGACUUAAUUUUGGAGGAUAUACUAGUUGUAGAUUUUAGUAGAUAUGAUACUUAUAUUGAGAACUAGAAUGAAGUUUGUGUUUUUUUAUUUCCUUUUUUGUAAAUAAGAAAUAAGUAUUUGGUAGCUUUGACAAUUUAUAUGUUCUUAUAUUUUUUUUCUUUUUUUUUUCUUAGUAAAAUAUAAUUCUAUAGCUUUUUUUGCAUGACAAAUUAUUUAAAAUUUUGAUAAAAAAAACGAAUAUUUAAAAUUUUUUAAGGUUAUGGAUUUUAUCGGAUAUGAUACUUGUUGAAAAUUAGAAUAAAUUUGAAUUCUUUUAUUUCCUCUUUUGAAAAUAGGAAAAACAUUUGCUAGCUUUGAGAAUUUAAAUAUUAUAAUAAAUAAUUUUUUUUUGAAAAAUAUAAUUUUAUAACUACUUAAGCAUGACAAAUUAUUCAAAUUUUUAAUAAAAAUAAUAAUUGAAUAUUUGUGCAUUAGGGUUAUUCGAUUUUUUAUGGUUAACUUUUUAUUUAUUGAGUAUAUAUAUAUUUUUUGGUCUUAUUAUUUAAUAACAAAAAACCUUUCAAAUUUUAUUUUUUUAAAAUAAAAAAAUAUUUUAAAUUAUAUGUAAGGAUAUUAUUAUAAAUUUAUUUUUUUUUCAUUUCCAUUCCUAUUAUUAUCAAACAUUGGAAUGGAAACAAAUAAUCAUUCCAAUCUUGUAUUCCUAAGUUCAUCCAAAUGCUAGAAAUGGAAUCAUCAAAUUCAUUCCAUUCCACUAAGAAAUAGGAAAGGAAACAAAAUAUUAUUUCCAUUCCCUAUUCCGACAUACCAAACACCCCCAUAAGGUAUUGAAUCCAAAAAAUCAUAAUGCAAUAAAUAGAGUAAUAUGAUAAAAUAUAUAACUAAAAUACCCUUGAUUUUACAUAAAAUUACAAUAUAUUUGCCAUUGAAAUUGUGUCAUUUAUGCCAUAUUUGAUCCCAAAAAUAUAUUUUAAAAAUAAUUUUUUUUAUAUUUGUUUUUAUUAAAAAAAUAAAAAUAUUUUAAAAUCAUUUAAUCUUUAUAUAAAAAAAUUAUUGACUUUAUUUAUUUUUUCUUUCUUUUUACUUUUCUUCCCUAUUUUCCAAACAUACUCUCGCGGAAGGGAGGCCUUUCUCCACUCCGAAGGCACGAUUCCAAAGGCGAAGGCAUAGUCCGGAAGUCAAUUCUCAGUCCAACGCUGCAAAACCCCAAGAAGCAGCAGCAAUAGAAGAAGAAGAAGAUGCAUUCGUUUGGGUACAGGGCCAACUCUCUUCUCACCUUCGCCGUCACCAUUCUCGCCGUGAUGUGCGCCAUGGCCUCCUUCUCCGACAACCUCAACACCCCCUCGCCCUCCUCCCAAGUCGAGGUCUCUUUUCUCUAUCAAUUUUUCCCUUUUUUUUGGGGUUUUUUGUUUUGUUUUUCAAACCCUAGAUUUGGGUUUGAUUUUGACGGGGAUGUCCUUUUUCGGUGGUUGCAGGUGUUGAGUAUCAAUUGGUUUCAGAGGCAGCCCAAUGGGAACGAUGAGGUGAUUGGUUUUUCGGAUAUUUUUUUAUAAAUAUUUAUUUCGUGAUUGGGUUUCGGAUUUGUUUGAAUUGAAGGGCAUUUGAUUUUGGGUUACAUAAUAUGGUGAGAGUUGCUUUUUGGUUGUGUGGGAAAUUGAGGGCUUGACUUGGGAUUGGAGACUCCAAUUCCAAUUUCAAUUCCACUGUUUGGUUGAAUGGAUUUUCGAUUAGAUUGGAAUUUUAUAGACCUAGAAAAAAGGAAAACAAAUUCGAGGUAAAAGCCAAGAUCCGAAGUUCCAUUGAGUUAGAAUUCUGAAGCAAAUCCAUCUCUCAUGCAGCCAAACCAUCGCUAAUUGAGUUUUCUUGCAUAUUUUCUAUGUAUUUUGAUUUUUUUAUUUGUUUGAUAUAAUUGUUGGGGGUGGUUCGGGGUUCAUAAGGUAGUAAAUUUGAGAUAUAGUGCGCAGUAUUUUUAUAUAUUUUUUUUCAAUUUGCAGUGCCAAAAGUUAAUUUAAUGCAUUGAAUUAGAUAUGGCUCAUUGAAAAUUGAGUACAAAGUCACCAUGUUGUGGUAUUUUCAUUCAAAAUAUCCACUAUCUAUUGUCAUGUAUUUAGUAGGCACUGCAGCAACAAAGAACAAUGAGAAAAUCAUCAGUAUCCCAUUCUGCAUGAUUAUAGAAUCUGUAAGCCUAGAUGUCUUUGUGUAAAAAACUAUUUUGGAUCAUGAUUAGAUUAAUAUUUGCAUGUGAAUUUCAUUAUGAGGCAAUUGUAUUGAGCACUAUUGAUUCGUAUCCAAAACCCAGGGAAGAUAUUUGGAGACACUACCUGCCUUCUUGUUGGUUGGCAUGUUGAUUUGAAAAGCAAACCUACUUUGUUUUUGUUCCUUUUCCUUUCUUUCUCCCUUUUUUUUUUUUUGUUUUCCUGUGGUGUUUAUGUGAGAACCAUAUCACAUUAUUUGUAUUCAUUGUGUUGUGUUAUUGGGAACCAUGAAAGUUUUUACUUGGCUACUACCUACUCUGUCAAUCUGAAUUAAAAUGUUUUCAAUUUUAUACAGGUCAGCAUGACAUUGAAUAUAUCAGCAAAUCUGCAGUCAAUGUUUACAUGGAACACAAAACAGGUUUACCUAUUGACAAAUUCUUAUGUUUUUAUUUAUUUAUGCUUCUCAUACUUUUUCCUAUACUAAAUAUACGUAUAUUUCCAGGAUGCUUUAAAUAGUUUUUUCCCUGUGGGAUUGGGAUCUAGUUCUUGUAGAAAGAUUGAGAUUGACCACUUGAGGCAUUCCUCAAGUAUAUCUGUGAUGUUUUCAUAAUUGGUUCAUAUGCAAUCAUAAUAACUGCUGGAUUUGGCCCUUUUUGGGAUGAUAGGAAUAAAAUGUGUCAAAAUUUAUUUUUUUUUAACCGACUGUGCAAGAGAUUUUGAUGAAUUGAUGGUACCGGCACUUCCACAGAUUUGUUAUUCUCAACAAUAAAUAAAUGUGUGAUGUGAAGAGGGCAGCUCUAGAAAAUUCAGGAGUGAAACUUUUCUAUAACUUCAUGAAGCAGAGAACCAAAAGGAGAGCAAUUUUGAUAGAACUUACUGCAUUUUGGGAGAUGAGAAACUACUCCAUCAAAUAUCCUUUCAUUUCCUGACUUCCAAAUAAUGGCACAAACCCACUGAAAGGGGUUUGAUUCUCUAAACAAUCAUCUGUAUAAGUUCACUCACUCCAAAUCACCAACAAUAAUAACCAUUUUACAGAUCCUGGAAAUACCAAGGGCCCAACAUAUCUGAAAUAGUGAGAAGAGUACACAAACUGCAGGGUUUUCUGUUAACUUUGCAUCUUCCUUGUUCAUAUUGCAUCGGUUUGUCAUCAAGCAACUGCAACCCUCAAAUAGUCAUUGUUCCUCAACAGUGUCCCAUCUCCUCCCACCACACAACCAUUAAAAGAAAAAGGCACAAUAUAUUUUUUCUAGAGAAGCUAUAUGGUCAUUAUGGGUCCUUCAAAUCUUGUUAACCAAGUUAUCUUCUUUCUUUUCCUCUCCAGAGUUUUGCACUCAUUUGAGAACCAACAACUCAUAUUAACUUCUAGUUUAGCUGUCUUCCAGUAUCCUAGAAAGAGGUAUUGGACUGGCAAGUUGAUGCUGGGUUUUGAAUGGGCCGUUUAUCUUAUUUUACAUUUGUUGAGUUUGACUCAUAGUUGGUAUAAAUUCAUUUGAUUUUUCUCAUUAUGUUGCCUCAUCUUCUCUCAACCUUGAAAUUUUUUAUUAUUUUCAGUUUGUUCACUUACAUUUUUCACUGAUGCCAUGCCAUUUUCAUUUAAUCACUAAGAUAGAGAUAUAUUCUUUUGUAUUUGUUGUUUGUUUCUUUAUUGUUCAUUUGGGGCAGUGUUGGUGUUUGUGUUUGGUUGUCCAUUGAAAAUUUUAAAAUUCUAUGUGAAACACAAUUACUGAUUUCAAUUCCAUGGGAUGUCAAUGUGCCAUGGGCUUGAUCCAGCCUCUUGCUCUCUUACAGUUUUGCAAAUUUCAGUAGUAUUCUGAGUUUAUUUUUUAUCUUAUUUCUAUUUGUAGGUUUUUGUAUUUCUAGCAGCUGAGUAUGCAACACCAAAGAAUUCCUUGAAUCAGGUUAGCUUCAGAGCAUCUGGAAGCACAGAUCCUUUGUAUUUUUUUUCAUAUCAAUUUCAUUCUUUUUUUUUUCCCUCACAUUUUAUAAAUCUGAUUGAAACACAUGGUUCCUGCAAGACAUAUGAUCUACUUUAUGAUUGUUCGCAUCAUAUGGCCAUACUUCUAUACUUGUUGACAUCAUCCUCUGAUUCCAUUAUUAUGUCAUUUUUCCACAAUGGCUUAAAUGGAGAUGCCUAUUGAAGAAAAUAGUUGAAAUGGAGAUCAAUUACAUAAUAAAUUUUUAUUGUGGUGUUGAGCUAGAGGUUCCUUCAACAUCUGCAAAUUUCAACUAUUGGCCAUUAUGUUUCUAUUUGCCACUGUGAAAGCAACACAUCAGCUGUUCUCAUGGCGCUUUUUAUAGGCAAAUGAGAAUAAUAUUAACAAAGCCUAAACAAAAAGUGGGCUCCAAAGUAGUGUGCAAAGGGCACCUAACUGGGUUCUCAUAGCUUACAUUAUACUGUAGUGGACCACAAAUUGAGAGUAUAAGUUAAGGUUGUUUUUUCUGAUUCAUUUUUAUAUUAUAGUAUUGUCUUGGCCUGCUAUUUCUUGUGUUUUCUUUUUCCUCCUUUGGUCCAUUCCUAAAUCCAAAAUGGAACCAUUUCCUUGUUUGGGUUCAAAGCUAUUGAACAAUACAUUGAUGCUGCAUAAUUUAUUAUGAAGGUGAGAUCUGAAAUGACAAAGUCAAGAGGAAUUUGAGUACAGAGAGCUUGACUUCUAUCGCUCCAGAUAAAGAUUAAUUCUUUGCAUUAGGUGGUGCAUGCCCACUGAUUUAGCACAUUUAGGAUAGUGUAUAACUCCUACCUCUUAUCCAUAAUUCAAUGAAUUUAUUUUCUUUGUAUUUUCUUUUUCUACAUGCUCUCUCUAGGUAUCUGGAUUAUGUGUAAGUGUUACCCUGAAAGAAGAAAACAGUAACAGGCAUUAACUUAACAUUAAGAAAUUCAUUUAGAAUUUGAAGUAGAGACCACCAUUAUAACCCAGAACUGAAAUUAUGAUUUCAGCAAUGAUGUGCCAUAAGUGAAGCGACUCCUGGGGAGCAAAAUUUUUUGACUGCUAGCAUAUGCGUAUGCAUUUGAAAUAACUUUGACCAGGACCUCAAAUAUGAGUUUUUGAACAAUAACUGAAAAUUGAUUUUGAAGAAAGUAAUAGUUGAGAUAAAUACGUUAUUGAGUUGAAUGAUCAUCUUUCUUCUCGGAGAUUUUUUUUCUUUUCUCCCUCAGGAAGUUAAUGAUGUCCAGACGAAAAGUUUCAUAAAUUGAGAAACUUUUUUAACUAAGGCAUGGCAUUCAUUAGGUUGCAAGACUGUUCGAGUUUGGGAAGAAAUAUGUUACACUAAUAUCAAGUGGUUUGAGCACUUAAAAAACAGUCUACCAUUUCAGAAAACAGUGCUCUGGGCAGGAUGGUGGGCAAGCCUCCUGACAGCAAUAAGAUUUUGUGGCAAGUUUUAUGGUACUUGAUUUAUGGGUGCAAUUUUUAUUUGUUAUGAUAGAUUUCUAUUUCCACCAGUUCACUUGGUUAUAAUAUACUGUUGUGGUGUUGAUUUGUCUAGCUGUCUUUAGCUGUUCUGAGGGGGUAAUGUGUAAAAUUGUUGAUAAAUUCUAGUCCAUUUUUUCAAACCUCCUCCACUCCCCAGCAAAAAAAAAAAAGGAUGUUCAUUGCUUGUGUUGAUUUUAAAAUUAUCAUGUGAUAGGUUUCUCUCUGGGAUGGUAUUAUACCUUCAAAAGAGCAUGCGAAAUUCUGGAUUCAUACCACAAACAAGUACCGAUUCACUGAUCAGGUAAAGCCAUUUCUGGAAAUUAAUUUUUACCACUACCUCUUCAAACCAAGCCAAAUCUUUGAUCUUUUUGCUAUUGUAGGGAAGCAAUCUCCGGGGAAAAGAAUUCAACUUGACAUUGCACUGGCAUGUCAUGCCCAAGACUGGAAAGAUGUUUGCUGACAAAAUAAUCAUGACCGGGUUCCGCUUGCCAGAAGAAUACAGAUAAGGAUGAUUCUGGGGUGUUUUUUUGGCUGUAACUUCAGUAUUUGUCCCAUGGGGAUGUAAGAGGUUAUUGAAAUUCGAAAAUCAGAGAAAAAGGGAAAAUUUCCUAUUUGAGUCAAUGACUUUUUAUUUAUGAGGAUAUUGCUUAGACUUUUUGAAUCCAUAGAACUUUGUUACUGAUUCUUGGAUCUUGACCCUUCCCUCAGAUAUUCACAUCUAUCUUGUGACCAUUUUUCUGUUCAUAUACAAUUUUUCCAGGUUGGAAUCUCUUUUCCUGGUGUUUGGAUGCAAAACUACCAAAUGGGAUUUCUUAGGAUUUCUUCAGGAAAAUCACUUCGAAAGGGAAACUCCUCUUCAUGGGAAUUUUCUUGGUGCAGUUCAUCACCGAUGGGAUUUUCCUUUUCUCAUCGCCCUCCAAAAAGGAAAAGAAAAGGAAAGGAAAAGGCCCCUCUUCAAUCGAGAGGAAAUGACUCUGAAGUGGGCUGUGUUCUUGUAUUCUCAGUCCCAUUUAGAUAGCAUUUUGUUUUUAGCUUUUGGUAAAAAGCUACUGAUUCAUUGAUUUCUAAGGACAGUAUACUGUAGUUUUAAAUUUUCUAUUAAAUAUAAAAUAAUAUGAUUUAUAAAUAAAUUAUAAAUUUUAUAAUAUUUAUUUAUUUGUAAAUUAUAUUUAUUUUAAUGUAAUUUAAAAUUUAAAAAUAAUAAUAUUAAUAAGUUAGGUAAACAAUUAUCUUUUUCUUUUUUUUUAAAAAAAAAUUAAUGGGUUGAGAAUGGAUUUAAACAAUUUUAGGGUUUAAUGCAUUUCACCCCCUUCAAUUUAUUACGGGUUUUGCACAUUGCCCUCUCACCGUUAAAAUUGAAGACAUUGUCCUUCAAACUUCUUAAAUAUUAAUAUUGUCUCCUUUUUGUUAGACAAUAUUAAUUUCAAUGAACGAAACAUGUGAUAUUAUAAAUUUAUCCUUAUUUAUUUAAUCACAUGCAUACAUAUCUCAUAUUUUCGUCCAUUAAAACGAACAUCAUUCAAUAAAAAGCUACUAUGAAGGCAUUUAAGAAACUUAAAAAGUAAUGUAUUCGAUUUUAAAUAUGAGGAGCAAUAUGUAAAACACGCGUUAGGUUAAAAGUGUAUUAAACCCAUGAUUUUUUUCAUUUAUUCAAAAUCUAAUUUAAUUAUGUACAUAAUUUAAAAAUAAUAAAUAUAAAAUUCAUGAAUGAGUUCCAACCCUAAAUACACGUGGAAUAAUCAGGAUGACAUAAAAUGAACACUUUCAUGUGAUUGGUCCAGCAAGUGGGACCCGUCAAAAUGCUGACGUGGCAACCGGCAACAUUUGAUAUUGCUAAAUGGGAAAACUGUACGGACAAACAUAACUGGUGGAGACCCAUCUUCUCUUUCAAUUCUCAUCCCCUUCUCUUUUUCCUCUCUCUAUCUGUCUUUCUCUCAGGCCAUCGUCGUGCUUCUUCAGGUACGGAAACCCUGAAUCUCACUCCCCUUUGUUUGGUUGCUCUGCAAAAAAAAAACCGAAGGAAAAUGAAAGAAUCAACAAUAAAAUGUUACAAUCUUAAUUUUGAAUUAUUCUUUUGAGCGACCGAGAAAUCUAGAAGGUCUCUACCCAACUGAGACUGUUACAGGUUACAACACGGAACAAGAUACGUGGAAUUUUAAUCAUUUUUGUUUUAUUUUAUUUUCUCUUCAACCGAACAGAAGUUAGGGCUUUGAGUUUUGUCUCAAUUGGGGGAGAGUUUGAGUUCAGAUUGUGGUAUCGCUUGUGCAUUUGCUUUACCUAUCACUGGAAACUCCAAUUACUAUUGGAAAAUAACCCGGAAUUGUUGGACAUUUAUUUUCUCCUUGUCCUUAGUUUUCUGGGCAAGCAGACAGAAGGCUAGAGUUGUUUCCUCUUUCUAUUCUUGUUUUUCCCCCCUUCAAUACGGGAAGUUGUAUUCAAAUUCUGGUGGUGUUUGGAAUCUUUGCUUAAUUCGAUCACUGAUUUGAGUUUGAAUUGUGAAAGUAGAACUUAGUCCUUAACUUUUCUUUUGUUUUCUUAUAUUUUCUCAGUUGCCAAUUAGAGCCCUAGCAUAGCCUCUCUGCUACAUUGUGAGCGCCUAGCUAAAUAUAAUAUUUGAGCCUUACUGUACAUUGAAGUUAAUGUUCAGUGCUAAAUCAUUAAGAGCCAUCUCUGAAUGCUUGCAUUAGCAGCUCUCAAUGACAUACUAUGUAUGCUUAAAAAUCCCAAGGGAAAGGGUGCAAAAUAAUUUCUGUGUGCAUGAUCAAAUAUUUGUUGUCUUUAUUAUUUUAAGCUUCUGCAUGUAACUAGCUGGUUCUAUGGCCUUCUCAAAUUGCUACACGGACAACAGUUUCAAACAUUGCAUAAAAUUCUGAACCUUUAGAAUUUGGUACUGUUAUCAGUAUUUCUGACUUAAGAUGAGUAUGCACUAGCAGACGAAAUCAAUUAGAUUAACCUAUGACUUGGUUUCAAAAUUAUAUUCUAUACAAAGUGUUUUCUCUUACUCUAAUUUCCUUGUUUUUUAUUGUUGUUCUUGAGCUAUUUUCUUUGCUUUUGAGAAUGUUACCAUUUCUAUAAUCUUAUUUAUCUUUCUUUCAAAAGUACAUCCAUUUAUGUUGAAUAUGUUCUAGUAUGUGUACCAUUAAUGUCCUGAAGGUCAUGAUUGUUGCGCUUCUAUUUUUAUGAGACUAGUUGAUCUUGUUUGCAAUGGAUGAAUUUAGCUGUAUGGGUGUGAGUAAUAGAAUUGUUGGAAGAAAGUCACUGGUAUAAUUUCUAUGAUACUUGUUAUGGGUCUUCUGUUCAACUUAAAUAAUAACUAGGUUAUGCGUUGAAAGGAAAAUAUGUUUAAAAAGUCAGGGGUUUCAUUAACAUCCUUGAUCUUACAGGGAAGCUAUGGCCAGCCAAGCCCUUGUGAACAGUGAUCGCUCAAGGACACAUUGGACCCAAACGAUGGAACGCUAUUUCAUUGAUCUCAUGUUAGAUCAGGUACAUAGGGGCAAUAGGAUGGGGCAUACAUUUAAUAAACAAGCUUGGGCAGAUAUGCACGCCAUGUUCAAUGGAAAAUUUGGAUCUCAAUAUGAGAAAGAUGUCUUGAAAAGUCGUUACACAGUUCUGUGGAAGCAGUUCAAUGAUAUGAAGAAUCUCCUUGACCAAAGUGGAUUUUCUUGGGAUGAUACUCGAAAGAUGGUGGUAGCUGAUGAUUGUGUCUGGGAUGCCUAUAUCAAGGUGCACUGUUUCUUUGCUCUCCUUGUUUAAUCCCCGUUCUUAUUGCAAAAGUAGCUUGACAUGAGAUGCAUGCAGGCUCACCCAGAUGCACAAUGCUACAAAAACAAAGCUGUGAUGAAUUUCAAUGACUUAUGCUUGAUAUAUGCAUAUACAACAGCAGAUGGAAGAUAUAGUCGUUCAAGUCAUGAUAUAGACUUUGAUGAUGACUUCCAAGGAGUGACCAUUGGUGUGUCUCUAUCCCUGUUACAACCUAGAUUAUGGUUUUAUCUUAUAUUGUGAAUGAUAUGUGUGUACAUGUGAAUGUGACUCAAAACAAGACCCUUUUUCCAGUUUUUAUUUUCAUGGUGCCGACACUAGUUUUGGGAAGGGGGAAGACAGUAGAAUUCUGAAGCUGCAACUCAUUGCACAAUGUUUAUGAUAUAUGCAAAAACCUUCCUUUUCUUUUUGCGGGUUUUCUGUUUGUAAUGCAAUACUUAUCAUGAAAACUAUAAGGGAAAAAAUGGUAGAACUCAGAAAAUAUAACUCACUGACCCUAUUCAUGAUUUAUGAGUGUAGAAUUCUGAAGCUGUAAUUCACUGCACCAUGUUUAUGAUAUAUGCAAAAACCUUCCUUUACUUUUUGCAGUUUUUCUGUUCGUAAUGCAAUAUUUAUCAUGAAAACUAUAGGGGGGAAAAUGGUAGAACUCAGAAAAUAUAGCUCACUGACCCUAUUCAUGAUUUAUGAGUUGACCUAGAAUUUGACAGAACAAAAUCCUUGCUUGAAUUUCAUAAGUUUCAGACAACUAUGAACCUUCACCACAUCCAACAUUAUAAAAGGCCCUGUCUUUCUGUCAAUUAUAAGCUCUUAGCUCCACAAGCCACAAGUGGGUGAUCUACUAACAGUUUAUCUGAGCCAAAGAUAACCCAAAAGUGGUCAGAAUUCCUGGCUAUAUUUUAUUGUUCUGGAAACAGGACCUUAUUAAGAUAGAAACAAGCAUACUGUGAAGUGGCUGAAUGUGUGAAGAAUAUGAUAAUUGGUUGCAUUCAUGAUGAUGGAUGUUACCUGAGUGAGUUAUUGACCUUUAUCUGGCUAUCAAAAAUAAAAUAAAAUACUGAUUGUUAUUUACUUGAUUUGUUUUGACAUGCAUUUUCCUCUAAAAAAAGUGUUAGUAAUUUCAUAAACAAACUAAGAACUGGAUGCAGUAUGAUUAAGGCUGGGUAUGUCUUUAUUUGCAGAUAUCUACAAGAAUUAGAAGUUUUUUACUGAACAAACAACCACACUCACUAAUAAAUUUCUUAAUUGUAUAGCUUAUGGAAUGGGUAGCGUAGCCCCUGCAAGUAAUGAGCACUCUAGAAGAGACUGGACACCAGCCAUGGAUCAAUAUUUCACUGAGCUCAUGCUGGAUCAGCUGGGAAAAGGGAAUAAGAUUACUAAUACAUUCAAUGAACAAGCAUGGACUGUUAUGCUCUCUUUGUUCAAUUCAAAAUUUUGUACUCAGCAUGGAAAAAGGUUUUUAAAACGUCGAUAUAAGAAACUGGAAAAAUAUUAUAGUGAUAUAAAGACUCUGCUUGAGCAAAAUGGUUUUUUGUGGGAUGAUAGACAACAAAUGAUAGCAGCCGAUGAUGAUGUUUGGGAUAAUUACAUUAAGGUAUGUAUUUUAUUUAAAUUUGAUAUUGUAGUUUUGUUUUUAUAAUAUCUAAUGCUUAAUUAUGAUGGAUUUAGGCACACCCACAUGCACAAGCAUACAGAAAGAAGAUUUUGCUGAACUUUCAAGAUUUGAGCUUGCUGUAUGGAAAAACUGUCAACAAUGGAAUUCGCAGUCAUCUGCACCCAGAUAAAGACCUUGAAUAUGAUAUUGUACAAAUCAAAGCUGGUGCGUUUCAUAUUUAGACCACCAAAGUUUUUUUUUUAUUUUUAAAUAAUUAUUUAUACUGUCUUAGGAGUUAUAAUUUGGAUUAUGGUUGUCUCGUGGAAAAUUCUUCAAUCGAUCAUACUUACAUGUAACAAGAGAAUUGGGCAGAACUACAAAUAGUUGCUUUUUCUUGGUGACACUUGAUGCUCAUCAAUGGAAACAGACUUCUAGGUUCCAAUUUUGUUGUUACAUGCAUCCAGAAUUGUAUGCUAAUUUUAGUGAAAUCCAUGAGACUAUCAGUCAUAUUAGCAUUUGCUUCAAGAUGAUUUUGGGAACCUUGAGAAUUAUUUUCAUGGAUGGAUUAUUACUUCUAUAAAUUGUGCUUUCUGGCUUUGUAGGUGAAGGGGAGUACCAAACACCAAUUAGUGGUGAUGGUUAUUGGACGCUGCCAAUGGACCAUUAUUUCAUUGACUUGUUACUGGACCAGGUGCUUAGGGGGAAUAAAAUUGGGCAGGGAUUCAUAACCCAAGCUUGGAUUGAAAUGGUCACAUUAUUCAAUAUGAAAUUUGGAUCUCACUACGACAAAGAUGUUCUGAAGAAUCGGUACAGACAUUUGAGGAGACAAUAUAAUGACAUAACAGCUCUUCUUGAACAUAGCGGGUUUUCUUGGGAUGAUACACGAGAAAUGGUAACUGCUGAAGGUUUUGUUUGGGAUUCUUAUAUCCAGGUGUGAAAUGCUAUUCCCCUAUUUCUUAUUUCUCAGAUGUAUUUUAUUUGAUGUUUUGUAGCUUACAUAUAACAUAUACAGGCAAUUCCUGAUGCUCAAUCAUACAGAAACAAAACUGUGCCAAAUUAUCACAAGUUGUGUGUUAUAUAUGGACAAGAAAGUUCUAAUGGAGGAGACAACUCUUUGGCAUGCAAUGGUGACAUCGAUGGCGUGGACCCAGUUUGGAUGAUUGGUAUGUUUCUCAUUCAACAAUGAAAUUGGAAAAGAUAUUUUGUGAAGAUUGGUCCUAAGACUAUGAUCUCAAAUCUGAUUCUGGAAAGUAGAAAAUAAAUAGAAAUGCCUCUUAGAGCAAAUUUAAUUCUGUUCAAAUUUAUAUUAACUAAUAAACAAACACAAUUAAUUAUGAUUAAGUUUUCUGGAUUUUUGAAAUCCCCUGAAUUGAUCUGGUUUGUCAUUAAAACACAAGCUAAUUUUGUUGUGUACAAUUUAAGAAUUAACAAAUCACUUCAUCAAAAAAAGAAAAAAGAAAAAAAGAAAAAAAAAAGAAUUAACAAAUCACUCUCCAAAAUUGUGAAUGUUGCUUAUACUUCAUGAAUUAUGUUCCAGAAUGACAUGGUAUGCCUUUACAUUGUUGCAUUACUGAAUACGGAUAUUCAGUCUUGUUCAUCCAACCAAAUGCUCAAGUGCCUCCCACCCCACCCCUGCUACCUACAAAAGGAAAAAAAAGUACCUAAAACACACACACACACCCCUUUCUCCCCAAAUAAUGUUUGGAUCUUUCUUUAUGGAUUCCCAAAUUUUGAUUUCACUAGUGCCACAUAAUGUUAAGUCCCAGUUUCUUCACUUCAUUAACAGUAGAAAACCAAGUGAUAGGCAAUGCUUACUUGUGUAACUCUGGCUGGGUAUUGAUGUCAUCACAUAGCAAUAUUAGUUGCCAUGUUAUUUACAUUCAAAAUUCUGUUGUUGCAGAAGGAACUGAUAUUCAAUGCAAUGCAAAUAGUGAUCAUUCAAGGACAGAUUGGAUACCGCCAAUGGACAGAUAUCUCAUUGACCUUAUGCUAGAGCAAGUGCGGAAAGGGAAUAGGAAAGUUCACACUUUCAAUAAACAAGCAUGGGCAGAUAUGGUUGCAUUAUUCAAUGAAAGAUUCAGAACACAACAUGAGAAAAGUGUUUUAAAGAGUCGGCAUAAAAGUUUGAGGAAGCAGUACCAUCAUAUAAAGAAUCUUCUUGAUCAUAGGGGGUUCUCAUGGGAUGAAAUGCGACAAAUGGUCACAGCAUAUGAUGCUGUUUGGGCUGCUUACCUCAAGGUGCAUUGCUUAGUCAUUUGACUCUUUUGAUUUUAAUUGCAAGUGCCUAACAUGUGGUACAUGUAGGAACACCCAGAUGCAAAAUCAUACAGAGCCAAACCAAAGCCGAAUUACAAUGAUUUGUGCUUGAUUUAUGGGAGUCCAAUUGCUGAUGGACAAUGCAACCAAUCAUAUCAUGGCAUUGACUUCAACGGUGAUGGUGAGCCUUUAAUUGUGAUGGGUUUAUGGUUGUCUUGCAUUGGUUAAGGAAUAUUGUUUCAACAAUUUGAACCAAAAUUACUGAAGAUGCUAAUUACCUUGUGGUAAAGACCAUCGAUUUUUUCUAUGCUACCAUGUUUGAAGCCUGUGUUCACCUACUAAUUUGUUAAUCCCUAACUCCUACUGCCUUGUCCUUGUGCUGAUACGCUUUCAUGAAAAGAAGGAAGUAAGCUGCUGCAAUUUUUAAGAAAUUAGUAAGAAUGAUUCUUGGCAUUGAAUGAAUUUAGGGAUAUGUCAGUAGUAAUUUAUAUUGCAUGGUCUACUUCAAGCAUCUUUUAGCAAUGCUACAUCAUGUACACUUGACUAUUUAUGCGUGAUGUGUUUUGAUACAUACAAGGAAGACUAAUCUUUUCUCCAUAUUUUGUCAUUUUUAAAUACUUUGAAGGAAGGGAACUUAACAAUAGUAGUCACUCGCGAACUGAUUGGACACCACUGAUGGACCGAUAUUUCAUUGAUCUAAUGCUAGAACAUGUUCAGAAAGGGAGUAUGGUUGAUCAUAAAUUCAACAAGCAAGCAUGGAGUGAUAUGGCUGCAAGGUUUAAUGCAGAAUUUGGGUCUUAUCAUGACAAAGAUGUCUUAAAAAGUCGGUUUAAGCAUUGGAGGAAGCUGUUCAAUGGAAUGAGAACACUUCUUGAGCAGAAUGGGUUUGCUUGGGAUGAAAGACGGCAAAUGGUAACUGCAGCUAAUGAACUCUGGGAUUCCUAUAUCAAGGUACUUUUUUAUAAGUUAAACCUUUAGACACAGGAUUUUUCAGUCCCUGCUUCAGGGAACUUACAUAUGGUAUGUGCAGGAAAAUCCUGAUGCAAGAUCAUAUAGAACUAGAAGUCUCCCGAACUAUAAUGAUUUGUUCCUGAUAUAUGGGAAUGCAAUCAACAAGGACACACAAAACCAAUCAAGUUUUUGUAUAGACGACAAUGACGAUGACCUGGGAGUAGGAAUUGGUGUGUUUCUCAUUCUUCUUUCUCUCUCUCUCUCUCUGAUGCGCAUAGAGACAUAGACUUGCACACAUAUUAGCUUAUUGGUAACUUGGUAUACAUGGCUCAGAUUGUUCUCUCCACAUAAUGGCUCUCAUCCAGAGUUUUGGGGAUAGAUGGCUGCUAGCAUGAAUAUGAACUAAGGUCAUAUUGAACCUGCACCAUCCUUCUCUAAUGGCUGACUCUGAUUUUGUGAAACUGCUGGUAUCACAAAUUCAAUAUGUGGAUGUUGAAUGAUAGUGUUUUCAAAUGGUAGAAUUUCACACAUCUGAUUAUUCCAAUUUCUUCAAUUUGUAGGUGAAGAGGAUGACCAGUUCCUUGCUAGUAGCGAUUCUCUAGAUGUUGACUGGAUGAUACCAAUGGACAUAGACCCUCAUGCCCUAGAACUGGACAUGGAUGAAAUGUUUGGAUGUCUACAAUCCCCAUUUAGAAACACUAACAUAUCAGAUCAGAAAAAACGCCGACAAUCUGCGGCACCAUCAACUUUGGCAUGCUCAAGAAAAGUCCCCAAAACCAAAGAGAGGAUGUGGGAAUCACCCAGUGAAAAGGAAGGCGUAGCCACAGCACUGAUAAAUGAUAAAGAAGUGAAGAAUUGCAUCUCAAUAGAAACCAUCGUGGAUGCCCUCCAAAGCAUACCAGGCAUGGACGACGAGCUCUUCUUGGACGCCUGCCACCUUCUGGAAGAUGAGAAAAAGGCCGAGAUGUUUGUGGCACUGGAUGCUGCACGGCGACAAAAGUGGUUGCUGAGAAAGCUCCGCACCUAGCAUCAUCAUGCGAUUUUCAGUUGGGAAUUGGGAUUCAUGUCUAUAAUGUGUCUAUAAGUUUUUUGGGUAUGUAAAUUAUAUUUUACAGGUUAAAGCAUAGCAGUUCCCCUUUUUUUUUUCCUUCUCUUCGAAUCAAUCUCCUGGUAGCUAAUGUUGUUCAAACCUACACCUCACUCAGUUCAUAGACAGCAGAGUGUGAGCUGUCGGCACAGAGCAGUGCACCUUUUUCUUACCGCGUGGUGGUAUUUGUCUUGACCAACCACCUACUGCUGGCUUUCCUUCUAGUGAAUUGCUGCGGCAUCACCGGUCACAAAACCAUAGUUAUUAAGGAAAAUAAAAGAAUCUUAAAAAUACUAAGGAAACAAGGAAAAUGAAUUUCUUGUUGAAAUAGACAAAGAUGAAAAGAAAAUCCAAAAAAGGAAAGGAUGAGAAAAAUGUUCAAAAUAGUCCAAAAUCAAAACAAAACAAUGAAAAUAGAAUGCAAGUCUAAUUGCAUUGGAACCUUUUUCCUUGAUAUGAGAAAUGUGGAAAAUAAGAAAUAAAUAAAUAAUGCAAAGAUCUAUGACCCAAUGACAAGACAAUUAGUAGCAAGAAGCUUGGGUCUGGGAAUGGCAUGGCCUGCUUCUCCUCCUCCUCCUCCUCCUCUCUCUCUUACCUCAAAAACUCUGCAAUCCCACUCUCCCUCUUCUUCAUCUUCCUCUUCUUCCUCCUCACUACCCCACAUUUCUCCCCAAGCUACCCCUCCCCUCCCCCUAUAAUCCCCAAAAGGUCUCUCCUCAACUCCACCACCACCACCACUUCUUGCUCCUCCAGUCUUGAAACCCCCUCCAAUGGCCUCCUCAACUACCUUUCCCUCCAUUUCUGCACUUUCCACCAAACCCAUCUCAUCUCCAUCCCUUUCCUCACCCUCGUUCUCCUCCUCCUCUUCUACAUCCUUGUCAAGACUGCCCAAGAUCGCUUCUCUAUCGUCGUCACGAAGCUCUGUGCUCAUCUCAAUUUGUCGCCUAGUAUGGGUGCUGUGACCCUCUUGGCUCUGGGUAAUGGGGCUCCAGACGUCUUUGCGUCGGUGGCCGCUGUGCGUGGCGGGCAUCCGAGGACUGGUUUUGGGGCGAUUUUGUCGGCCGGUACGUUUGUUUCGGCGUUUGUGGUUGGGUUUGUGGCGAUUUAUGCCGCGCCGUUUUCGGUGGACCCGAGUCAGUUUGUGAGGGACGUGUUCUUUUACUUGGUGGCUGCGUUGUUCUUGUUCUAUGUGUAUUUGAGCGCGGAGAUUUUUCUGUGGCAGGCUAUUGGGUUUGUGGGGUUUUAUGCGUUUUUUGUCGGGUUGGUGUUUUGGAUGGAUUUGGGGAUUGGUGGAGGGAAGGAGAGAGGUGGGAGUGAGGUGGGGUUGAUUGGGGAGGUCGAGAUUGAGAAGGGUUUGGUGGGUUCUGGGGUUUUUGAGAUUGGGGAUGUGUUGAAGGAUGUGGAGAGAGGGAAGGCCGGUUUCGGGUUCGGUGAUGCACUUGGCAAGGUAUGUUUGGAUUUGAAUUGUAUUUCAAUUAUAAUCGUGUGGAUGUUUAUUUGGGAUCAUAUACGUUUGCUGAAUCUUGUUGUCAUAUAGUUCAUGAUCUAUGUGGCCAUAGAAGGUGAAGGUCGGAAUUUAAUUUGAUAUGAUGAGUUUGUUUCGUAAUUGGGUACCUGGAAUCUUGAUUUCUCAAUCAGUAGUGACUGUAAAAGUGAGGGUCUGCUUAAUUUUUUGGAAACUAGAAAAUUUAUGUGAGAUUUAAUAUGAAUUGAUUAUUUGCAUCAUCUUGCUUUGGACAUACUUACAGAAACUCCUAGACUUUCCUAGGUGAUUACCCUGCUUCUUGCCUACGUGCCAUGAUGGUUGUCCAGGGAAGAGUGAUGAUGCUCCUGCUCGCCUAGGUGCCUUGAUGCUUGUCUGUAUGUUGAAUUUGAUAUUAUCUCUCCCACUAAUUUCAUAUUUUGAUUUGUUUGAUGUGGUUUAUAUAACAUAUGAAGACAACUUUAGAUGAGGAAGCUGCUUUAAAUGGACAUUCAUAUAGGAGGUGUGAACAAAAGAAUGAGAGUAAAUAGAUAAGCCUUGAUUAAUCAAGAAAUGAUGGAAAUAUAGCGAGAUUAUGAAUCGACUAUUGCAGGGCCACACUUGAUCAAAACUAUUUGAAUUGACCAUAAAAAAUUCAUGGGUCAUGUCUAGGGGCCAUGUUAGGAUCCAUCACAAACAUCUCAAGGUGAUGCUACGUGUUGUAGACGAACAAACAUCUUAGCUUACCCUCUCAUUUGGUGACAAGAUGGUCCUGUAUCUGGCAUUUCACCAAUGUGCUGUUAUUUUCCUGUCCAUAGCAUAGUAAAGCAAGGUCCUCAUUUUCCAACCUCAGAAAAACAGGUUAAGCAUCUAGGUGUGACAAGACAUUGGCCCGUGUUAUCUUUAAGUUGGGUUAUUCUGUUUUUGGUAGGUUAAUUGGUAAUGGCCUUUUAACUGUUAAAAGCUAUAUAUGAUUUUGUGCAAAUUUGAAGUUAAGAAAUCAUUCGUCUUAUAAAUCCUCAAGGCAUUAUAUUGUUAUGAAGAAUAAUUUUGUCCUCCAAGAUCAGCUUUUUCUAUUCCUAUUUGGAAAUGAGUUCCACUCUUUCAGAGGUAUUUGUAUCUGCCCCUUAACAGAAACAGUUUUCAACCUUUUUCCCCUUCUUUUAUGUAUGUAUUUGACUGCUCAUAUCUGUUAUUGCUUAGAAGGACAUUCUUGCAAAAUAUAUAUUUCCUUCAUUCAAUUGGAUACUCCUAUAGAUCCUUAUUUUAUAUGUUGACCUUUAGAAAGCCUUCAACUUUUUCCACGGCUAAAUUUUUAAAAUGUGGGAAGGUGAGUAGGUAUUAAAAAAAAUAGAUGUAUAUGUAUGCAAGACACAAAAAUAGAUGGUGCAUAUGUAUACUCCUUUAGUCUAUAAUUAGGUGUCAAGAAAUGGAUUUCAUUGUAAUAGUAGGCUACAAACCUUAAUGAUUAUAAAUGAAGACAAAAUGGCUUAGAAUAUUUCUUUUAUACACAUUUUAUGGAUCAAGAAAUGGAGGAUAUACUUGAUAUAUCAUUGAGUUGAGAUUCUUAUGUGUUGCGUGGACUGCCCAUGGAUGAUGGAUAUUGGAGUAGUCAUUUUUGAGUGACAUGGCAUUUUUGACAAGUGAAUUUUGUUUAUUUUGCAUUCUUUAAAUUGAUAUUCUUGAUUAUUGUUUAGAGAAUAUGACCAAUUUUGGUGAGGGCUUCAUUCAUUGUUAAUGGCUCCAUCGUAGAGGAUGGAUUUUGCCUUUAAAUGGUAUGGAAAACAAAGGUUUAAUUUUCUUAGAAUGCCCAAGCACUGUCCAGGGCUUCUAUCAUAAAGCAUACCAGUGAAAAUGAUGGCAAAUUUUAGCAUUGGUAAAGCCAAGGGUCUAUCCAACCUUCUAGUAGAAGGGGAUUCUGUGGUAGUGCUAUAUUGGGUAAAAAAGGAGAAAAACUCUCGGAGGUUUGGCUAUGCCAACUUUUUGACAUCACUCUAGAGUUAGGGUGUUCAUUCUGCUGGAUUCCUCAGGCAGCUAACUAGGUGGCGGAUAAGUUAGCAAAAUGGGGAGCUUAACAUUUGAUUUCUUUUGUAGGAGAUUUUCAACCCCCCUAAGCUCUUGAAUUCAUAUUUUAAAACCUUUUUAGAUGUGCACAUCUAACGAUAUCUAGAGUAGAUGGUUUUUUCCUGCUUUUGAUCACAACUAUAUAGUUGUUGUGCUUGCAGGAAGGAUUUCUCAUCCUUCUUUAUACUUGAUAAUAAAAUGUUUGUUUUUUAUUUAAAGAAAAACAAAUGAUGACAAACUUUUCUCUCCAUUUUUUGCAUUGGGAGCCCUGUCGUACUUACAUUUGGCUGACCCUUACUGAUGAUCCUGGUUGUGGGAAUAGGUGAUUUGUCUUUUGCCAGAAAACUAUUGGUAAAAAGAGGAUUAUUGUCUUGUUUGUUUUUCCUCAUAUUUUCAGAGGUUUUGUUGGUUAAUAACCGCCCAUGCUUCUUUGCAUGGUGGAUUUAAUUAUUGUUGGAUUUUGUAAUGCAUUUCACAGUCAUUUGUGAUGAUUCUUUGAGAAAUUAUUGUUGUUGAUUAUGAGAAUGUUCAUUAAUUAAUUGUCAUCCAGGCCCAUCUAGUUUUUGAAGGUUAAUAUGCAUAUUAGCUUUUUAAUGCUUCUGAUUAUGAUUGCCCUAAUUCUGUUUUUUUUUUUGCUUGCAGAUCUCGAAAGCAUGGGAACUUCCAGUUUCUUUACUUCUAAAGCUCACAAUCCCACAAACUGAACCUUCAGAAUGGAAUAGGUUCUAUCAAUCUGCAAAUAUUGCUCUUUGCCCACUUGCCCUUUUGUACUCCUGUAAUUCAUUCAUACCACUAAAUCAUCCCAUCAUUUUUCUCCUUCCACACACUCAUUUUCCAUUAUGGUCUGUCGUACUCUUUGCAAGCUCCUCCCUUGCAGUUCUUCACUUCAUAAUAGAAAAAGAGCCCCCUGAAACUGAAAGAAUGCCUGUGGUUCUUGUAGCCUUUAUAAUGAGUGUCUUUUGGAUAUCUACUGUUGCUGGGGAGCUCCUGAACUGCCUUGCAGCAUUAGGGUCACUUCUUGAAUUGC
This 33983-nucleotide long non-coding RNA is filed under the name Vitis vinifera (wine grape). RNAcentral describes it as "long non-coding RNA (VVIN_LNC004458)". The record is from RNAcentral. Lineage: Eukaryota; Viridiplantae; Streptophyta; Magnoliopsida; Vitales; Vitaceae.